UGGGGAAUAUUGCACAAUGGGGGAAACCCUGAUGCAGCGACGCCGCGUGAGCGAAGAAGGCCUUCGGGUCGUAAAGCUCUUUUAUGAGGGAAGAUAAUGACGGUACCUCAAGAAAAAGCCCCGGCUAACUACGUGCCAGCAGCCGCGGUAAUACGUAGGGGGCUAGCGUUGUCCGGAAUCACUGGGCGUAAAGGGUUCGCAGGCGGAAAUGCAAGUCAGGUGUAAAAGGCAGUAGCUUAACUACUGUAAGCAUUUGAAACUGCAUAUCUUGAGAAGAGUAGAGGUAAGUGGAAUUUUUAGUGUAGCGGUGAAAUGCGUAGAUAUUAAAAAGAAUACCGGUGGCGAAGGCGACUUACUGGGCUCAUUCUGACGCUGAGGAACGAAAGCGUGGGUAGCAAACAGG
RNAcentral lists this ribosomal RNA (403 nucleotides) under Verrucomicrobiota bacterium. Its description in RNAcentral is "Verrucomicrobia bacterium partial 16S ribosomal RNA". It matches the Rfam family "Bacterial small subunit ribosomal RNA", at positions 355 to 776 of the family's 1533-position model. The record is from RNAcentral. Lineage: Bacteria; Pseudomonadati; Verrucomicrobiota.